CGAUUUCCCCUUGUUGGACGCCUCUUCUUUAGGUUCUUGAGCUUAAAUAAUACAAAUAAGAGUAUUCAAUAUUUAACUCAAUAACAUGAAUUUAUUUAUCACAUUCGGCAAUCACACAUCAUUAAAUUUUCAAACCAAGAUGUCAUUAUAUGACCACAUAUACACAUAUCCAUAUACUCAAGCUCAAUAAUUAUAAUGUAAUAUCAUGUACCCACUUUAAGUAUAUUGCCGAAUAUACUUAAUCAUACAUACACCUAACCAAAACAAUUUCCUAAAAUCUUCAUAUCAUUUAUACACUAGGCCGAUUGCCCUCACCAAGUUCACCUAUGUUCUUCAACAAUUCCUUCAUUGAUCAAGCACAUAUUCGGCUAAGAAAUGGCAAUUUUAGCAACCUUCGAUUUAGUACUUAACUUUUACCACAUAUCAAAUAACUCAUUUCCUUACUCAUGUGACCACGUAUAUUCGGUCAUGCAUACACACAUAAAAUCAAUUUGGAGACUCUAUCAAUCCAACAUACAUUCGGCACCUUCAUCUACCAUUCUACCAAGCAUGUAAUAUUCAAACACAACCAAACCCACAUUCGGCCCUAGCUCAUAACAAGGUAACCGAUUUAUUUAUUUAUUUUUUUUUUUAUAGUUCAAACACUCCUCUAUCAUCAUUCACCUAACUUUAACAUGAACCAACAAAACUCACCAUUUCUCAUCCAAAUAACAUGAACAACAACCAUUCCUUGAACCCUUUCUCAUGACCGAUUGCUCAUGUUAUCAACAAGAUUCAAGGUUUAAACAUGGGCUAUUUAAAACAUGCAUGCAUCUCAAAGACAACAUCAAACAUACCUUAGUCUAGCAACCACCAUAGCCGAUUUUCUCAAGCCUUUUUCCCCCUCCUUUCUUUCCUCUAUUCGGCCAAGGAUGUUCAAGAAUGAACUCUUUUUUUUUUCUUUCUUCAAUUCACGGCAACAAGGGGGGGUGAGACCAUGUUAUUUUUUUUUCCAUCACCCUUCCUUUCAUUUUUUUAAUCACCAUGCUUAUUAUUUUAUUUUUCUUAACAUGCAUCACUAGCAUAACAUGUUGGAGACAUGUUUCCACCUAUAGCAUGGCCG
This 1102-nucleotide long non-coding RNA is filed under the name Gossypium barbadense (sea-island cotton). Its description in RNAcentral is "long non-coding RNA (GBAR_LNC000517)". The record is from RNAcentral. Lineage: Eukaryota; Viridiplantae; Streptophyta; Magnoliopsida; Malvales; Malvaceae.